This 433-nucleotide unclassified non-coding RNA is filed under the name Hevea brasiliensis (rubber tree). The record is from RNAcentral. Lineage: Eukaryota; Viridiplantae; Streptophyta; Magnoliopsida; Malpighiales; Euphorbiaceae.
AGAGAGAGAGAGAGAGAGCGUGCGAGAGAGUGUUGCUCCUGAACCACGUACCAUUCAACCAUGCCCGUCUUUAAGACCCCCUUCAAUGGCUACUCCGUCAAGUUCAGCCCCUUCUACGAAUCCCGCAUCGCCGUCGCCACCGCCCAAAAUUUCGGAAUCCUCGGCAAUGGUCGCCUCCACGUCCUCGAUCUCAAUCCCGCCGGUCCCAUAUCCGAGCACAUCGCCUUCGACACAGCCGACGGAGUCUACGACGUCUCAUGGUCCGAAUCUCACGACUCCCUUCUCGUCGCCGCCAUCGCCGAUGGCUCCGUCAAGCUCUACGACCUCGCUCUUCCUCCCACAUCGAAUCCUAUUCGAUCCUUCCACGAGCAUACGCGCGAGGUUCACUCUGCUGACUACAACCCCGUUCGUCGCGACUCCUUUUUGACUUCCU